CUAAGGUAGCGAAAUUCCUUGUCGGGUAAGUUCCGACCUGCACGAAUGGCGUAACGACUUCCCCGCUGUCUCCAACAUAGACUCAGUGAAAUUGAAUUCCCCGUGAAGAUGCGGGGUUCCUGCGGUCAGACGGAAAGACCCCGUGCACCUUUACUACAGCUUCACACUGGCAAUAGGUCAGACGUGUGCAGGAUAGGUGGUAGGCUUUGAAGCAGGGACGCCAGUCCUUGUGGAGCCAACCUUGAGAUACCACCCUUGUUUUGCUUGAUGUCUAACCGCGGUCCGUUAUCCGGAUCCGGGACCCUGCGUGGUGGGUAGUUUGACUGGGGCGGUCGCCUCCUAAAGAG
RNAcentral lists this ribosomal RNA (347 nucleotides) under Pseudo-nitzschia fraudulenta. RNAcentral describes it as "partial Bacterial large subunit ribosomal RNA". It matches the Rfam family "Bacterial large subunit ribosomal RNA", at positions 1951 to 2297 of the family's 2925-position model. The record is from RNAcentral. Lineage: Eukaryota; Bacillariophyta; Bacillariophyceae; Bacillariales; Bacillariaceae.